AGGUAUCAUUACACAAAUAUGAAUCUGGCUGGAACCUCUCGGGGUUACAGCCUUGCUGAAUUAUUCACCCUUGUCUUUUGCGUACUUCUUGUUUCCUUGGUGGGUUCGCCCACCACUAGGACAAACAGUAAACCUUUUGUAAGUUGCAGUCAGCGUCAGUAACAAAUUGAAGUAAUUACAACUUUCAACAACGGAUCUCUUGGUUCUGGCAUCGAUGAAGAACGCAGCGAAAUGCGAUAAGUAGUGUGAAUUGCAGAAUUCAGGUGAAUCAUCGAAUCUUUGGAACGCACAUUGCCCCCUUUGGUAUUCCAAAGGGCAUGCCUGUUCGAGCGUCAUUUGUACCCUCAAGCUUUGCUUGGUGUUGGGCGUCUUGUCUCUAGCUUUGCUGGAUACUCGCCUUAAAGCAAGUUGGCAGCCGGCCUACUGGUUUCGGACGCACACAAGUCGCACUCGUCUAUCAGCAAAGGUCUAGCAUCCAUUAAGCCUUUUUUUUCAACGUUUUGACCUCGAUCAGGUAGGGAUACCCGCUAACGUUAAGCAGUAUCAAGUAAGCGGAGGAAAG
This 562-nucleotide ribosomal RNA is filed under the name Alternaria sp. Ag2. Its description in RNAcentral is "eukaryotic LSU rRNA". The stretch from base 180 to 335 matches the Rfam family "5.8S ribosomal RNA". Lineage: Eukaryota; Fungi; Ascomycota; Dothideomycetes; Pleosporales; Pleosporaceae. RNAcentral also lists the same sequence under 2 other names. The record is from RNAcentral.